AUAACCAUGGCCCAGCCACUGUGUAGAGUGCUAUCCAUAUACUGUCCUACUGUUCAACUCCAGUAUAAUCUCCAUCUUAAAAUGAGAAAACAAACUUAAAAGGGUAACUGAAGUUCAAGGCAGAAAUGUAUUGAGGACUGCCAGAAAAAGCACAAGCUACUAUAAUGAAACUACAUUAUGGGACCAACAUAGUUUUCACCUCCUCCUUCAGAGCAAGACAUAUUCAGGA
This is a long non-coding RNA of Leopardus geoffroyi (Geoffroy's cat), 229 nucleotides long. RefSeq lists it as uncharacterized. The transcript has 2 exons. The record is from RefSeq and is a predicted model, not a curated record. Lineage: Eukaryota; Metazoa; Chordata; Mammalia; Carnivora; Felidae.